UUUUUUUUUUUUUUUUAUAGGAAAGUUGAUGUUAUGCCCAAAGAACUAGAUAAGAAAUCACCACCAUGAUAUGAUUCACACACACACACACAUAUAUAUAUGUAUGAUUUUGAACAACAAAAGUUACAAUCAAAGCAGAAAACGGAGGGACUUGUCAUUUCUUUCUAGCACUGAGAUCAAUCCAAAGAUAACAUAAAAAAGCUUAAAACGCCAUUAAUGAACUUUAUUACAUCAAGCUAGCCCAUGGCACCUAUUACAUGCAGAGCAAUUCUUGAUCAUGAGCUCAAGCCUUAGUCCUUUGCAGGUGGAGCAAAAGUAGGGGGAUUCAAGAAAGGAUUGGGAAAAGGGAAUAUUGGUGGAAAAGGAAAACUGGGAAAUCCAGGGAUUUUAGGGAAACCAGGAAGUGGAGAUAAACCACCUGGGGAGGGAGGUGGAAGGGGGAAAUUUGGGAAUGGGGAUGGAAAUGGAAAUGGAGGAAAAGGGAUGGGAAAAAGCCAGGUUGGGGUGUUAGGGGCACCAACAUUUCCACUGUCAUCUUUUACCUCCUCCAAAUUUCGAAGCUGCCGAGCACUGCAAAAAUUGCAAGAAAAAUUCAUGACCAAAACCAAGAUUACCAGAGAGAUGAAUUUGAGAGCCAUUUUUUGAGAGGAAAAUGCACCGAGGGGGAGAAGAAAAAGAGUGAGGCAGUGUAACUGGAUUCACCAGCAAAGUGCUUAUAUAGAGGCAAAUGCAGCUCUUACAUUUUCUCUGCCCAGGAAGUUUGGUAAAGAAAUUUGACCCUUUGGUUCCCUUGGUCACAAAAAUUAAUGUGCUUAACUGUAAGAAUUAUUGAGGUUAAAAGGAAGAUAAACUGUGUAAAUU
RNAcentral lists this long non-coding RNA (861 nucleotides) under Coffea arabica (coffee). Its description in RNAcentral is "long non-coding RNA (CARA_LNC006482)". The record is from RNAcentral. Lineage: Eukaryota; Viridiplantae; Streptophyta; Magnoliopsida; Gentianales; Rubiaceae.